GUCAAACUGUUGUCUCCAGUGGUCCCGCACCAAACUUCAUCCCGAACAAAUUAAGGAUUACACCAUCCAGUCUGAAGACGUCUGUCCCAUCAAGGCAGUAGUGUUUCUGACGGUUCGUGGAAAGAGAGUUUGCUCCAAUCCAGAGAUUAGCUGGGUAAAAAAUGCAAUUCUGAAGGUGGACCGGCGAGAAUGUCUGGCAAAGCGACAAUGGUUUGCAUGACACCAGCACCAUCCAUGACUUCAGAAAAUGAAGCAGCAUCAACAACCGACAUGACAACAACGCCAGCACCAUCGACGACAUCAGCACGCAGAAAACCCCCUAAUAAACACAGACUGGGGAAAAGAUUGAGGAAAAUGAUCAGGAAAAUUAGGAGGAGAACGAUGAGAAAAAGGCGCCUGUGUAGAAGCAUAACAAGAAUUAAGAAAGUGUUAUACUUCUUCUUCUUCCUCGCCCUGCUGUACCUACAAACCUAUAAGAAAUGUGUAGAAAUAUAUAUAUAUAUGUACAACAAAACUUAUAUUUUGACCAUAUUCUGUUGUUAUAAAUGUGCACACUGUAAAACCAAACUGCUUAAUUUGAAGGUUCCUGCUCUCAGUUGUAAAAACAUUUUUGUACUGCAAAUAUUUCUGUGUUUUUACUUUGUUGAUAAAGUAUUCUGACAUUUGA
This is a long non-coding RNA of Mugil cephalus (flathead mullet), 667 nucleotides long. RefSeq lists it as uncharacterized. Lineage: Eukaryota; Metazoa; Chordata; Actinopteri; Mugiliformes; Mugilidae. The transcript has 2 exons. The record is from RefSeq and is a predicted model, not a curated record.